Molecule: unclassified non-coding RNA, 254 nt
Filed under: uncultured Acidimicrobiia bacterium
Lineage: Bacteria; Bacillati; Actinomycetota; Acidimicrobiia
Description: contains 16S-23S intergenic spacer region
Rfam family: Bacterial small subunit ribosomal RNA
Source: RNAcentral
GACGUAGGGGGCGAGCGUUGUCCGGAAUUAUUGGGCGUAAAGGGCUCCUAGGCGGUUCAGUAAGUCGACUGUGAAAAUCCAAGGCUCAACCUUGGGACGCCAGUCGAUACUGCUGUGACUCGAGUUCGGUAGAGGAGUUUGGAAUUCCUGGUGUAGCGGUGAAAUGCGCAGAUAUCAGGAGGAACACCGGUGGCGAAGGCGGCCUUCUGGGCCUUACCUGACGCUGAGGUACGAAAGCAUGGGGAGCAAACAGG